Molecule: ribosomal RNA, 465 nt
Filed under: uncultured bacterium
Lineage: Bacteria
Description: partial 16S ribosomal RNA
Rfam family: Bacterial small subunit ribosomal RNA
Source: RNAcentral
GACGAACGCUGGCGGCGUGCUUAACACAUGCAAGUCGAACGGAAAGGCCCCUUUGGGGGUCCUCGAGUGGCGAACGGGUGAGUAACACGUGAGUAACCUGCCCUUGACUUCGGGAUAACUUCAGGAAACUGGGGCUAAUACCGGAUAGGAAUCCUUGCUGCAUGGUGGGGGUUGGAAAGCUUCGGCGGUUUUGGAUGGACUCGCGGCUUAUCAGCUUGUUGGUGGGGUAGUGGCUUACCAAGGCUUUGACGGGUAGCCGGCCUGAGAGGGCGACCGGCCACAUUGGGACUGAGAUACGGCCCAGACUCCUACGGGAGGCAGCAGUGGGGAAUAUUGCACAAUGGGCGGAAGCCUGAUGCAGCAACGCCGCGUGCGGGAUGACGGCCUUCGGGUUGUAAACCGCUUUCAGCAGGGGCGAAGCUUGUGGUGACGGUACCUGCAGAAGAAGCACUGGCUAACUACGUG